This 251-nucleotide ribosomal RNA is filed under the name Pseudomonas parafulva. Its description in RNAcentral is "partial 16S ribosomal RNA". It matches the Rfam family "Bacterial small subunit ribosomal RNA", at positions 9 to 262 of the family's 1533-position model. The record is from RNAcentral. Lineage: Bacteria; Pseudomonadati; Pseudomonadota; Gammaproteobacteria; Pseudomonadales; Pseudomonadaceae.
GAGUUUGAUCUUGGCUCAGAUUGAACGCUGGCGGCAGGCCUAACACAUGCAAGUCGAGCGGAUGACGGGAGCUUGCUCCUUGAUUCAGCGGCGGACGGGUGAGUAAUGCCUAGGAAUCUGCCUGGUAGUGGGGGACAACGUUUCGAAAGGAACGCUAAUACCGCAUACGUCCUACGGGAGAAAGCAGGGGACCUUCGGGCCUUGCGCUAUCAGAUGAGCCUAGGUCGGAUUAGCUUGUUGGUGAGGUAAUG